CCUACGGGAGGCAGCAGUGAGGAAUAUUGGUCAAUGGACGAGAGUCUGAACCAGCCAAGUAGCGUGAAGGAUGACUGCCCUCUGGGUUGUAAACUUCUUUUAUGUGGGGAUAAAAUGUUCAGCGUGUGGGAUUUUGUAUGUACCUUAUGCAUAAGGAUCGGCGAACUCCGUGCCAUCAGCCGCGGUAAUGCGGAGGGUCCGAGCGUUAUCCGGAUUUAUUGGGUUUAAAGGGAGCGUAGGCGGAUUGUUAAGUCAGUUGUGAAAGUUUGCGGCUCAACCGUAAAAUUGCAGUUGAAACUGGCAGGCUUGAGUACAGUAGAGGUGGGCGGAAUUCGAGGUGUAGCGGUGAAAUGCGUAGAUAUCACGAAGAACUCCGAUGGCGAAGGCAGCUCACUGGACUGCAACUGACACUGAGGCUCGAAAGUGUGGGUAUCAAACAGGAUUAGAUACCCGAGUAGUC
Molecule: ribosomal RNA, 460 nt
Filed under: uncultured bacterium
Lineage: Bacteria
Description: partial 16S ribosomal RNA
Rfam family: Bacterial small subunit ribosomal RNA
Source: RNAcentral